GGAGCAAACAGGAUUAGAUACCCUGGUAGUCCACGCCGUAAACGAUGUCUACUUGGAGGUUGUGSCCUUGAGCCGUGGCUUUCGGAGCUAACGCGUUAAGUAGACCGCCUGGGGAGUACGGUCGCAAGAUUAAAACUCAAAUGAAUUGACGGGGGCCCGCACAAGCGGUGGAGCAUGUGGUUUAAUUCGAUGCAACGCGAAGAACCUUACCUACUCUUGACAUCCAGAGAACUUUCCAGAGAUGGAUUGGUGCCUUCGGGAACUCUGAGACAGGUGCUGCAUGGCUGUCGUCAGCUCGUGUUGUGAAAUGUUGGGUUAAGUCCCGCAACGAGCGCAACCCUUAUCCUUGUUUGCCAGCACUUCGGGUGGGAACUCCAGGGAGACUGCCGGUGAUAAACCGGAGGAAGGUGGGGACGACGUCAAGUCAUCAUGGCCCUUACGAGUAGGGCUACACACGUGCUACAAUGGCGCAUACAGAGGGCGGCCAACUUGCGAGAGUGAGCGAAUCCCAAAAAGUGCGUCGUAGUCCGGAUCGGAGUCUGCAACUCGACUCCGUGAAGUCGGAAUCGCUAGUAAUCGUGGAUCAGAAUGCCACGGUGAAUACGUUCCCGGGCCUUGUACACACCGCCCGUCUCAACAUGGGAGUGGGCUGCAAAAGAAGUAGGUAGUUUAACCUUCGGGAGGACGCUUA
RNAcentral lists this ribosomal RNA (691 nucleotides) under Vibrio harveyi. RNAcentral's name for it is "bacterial SSU rRNA". It matches the Rfam family "Bacterial small subunit ribosomal RNA", at positions 765 to 1456 of the family's 1533-position model. The record is from RNAcentral. Lineage: Bacteria; Pseudomonadati; Pseudomonadota; Gammaproteobacteria; Vibrionales; Vibrionaceae.